Molecule: long non-coding RNA, 857 nt
Organism: Passer domesticus (house sparrow)
Lineage: Eukaryota; Metazoa; Chordata; Aves; Passeriformes; Passeridae
Exons: 2
Source: RefSeq, a predicted model, not a curated record
UGUGCAGGUUUUACAAGUGAUUAAAAAAAAAGGUAAGAAAACUUAAAUAUAUCCUCAAUUUCAGAGGAGCUGAGCACACUGCAACAAUUGUAAACUUCAGUGGGAAUACAAAGAGCCACUUCUGGAAUCAAGGCUUCAUAGAGAUUCUGUACUGCAUUAGUGGAUAACUCUAAACGUCAUAUGAAGUGUCAGCAAGUUCUCUUCACAGUUUAGUCAGACAAAACAAUCCUUUUCCAGCCUGACAACCAAGGACAGCGUUGGAGCUUCAGGGCCAAAAAGUGCAAACCACAGUGAAUUGAGGAGAGCCAUCUGGGAGGAUGGGACUGCAUAACCUGGAGCUCUAAUUGGAUAAUUAACCCCAGUAACUUAGGAAAGUGUGAAAAAUCAUGACCUGGCAUCCAUCUUGGGUGGUGGCACAGCCAGGCUCUUGUAUUGCCCAAGGUGUGUCCCUUCAAGGCCUUUUUAAAAAACACCUACUUUAUUCCUUUAGCUCUGUCUAGCCUCUGCUCUAGGUAUCCUCUCAAGGCAUCACUGGUAACUGGGUUUGUUAAUCUUUGUUAAAUGUGUUGGCUGAGCAUUUACAUGUUUUUCUAUGUCUGGAAGACAAAAAUUGCACUUCAAUUCUUCAAUGAGAUUUUUUUGUUCAACUCAAUUUUGGUUUAUUUAGUGAUUUUUUAAAAAUAUUUUUUAAAACUUUCAUUGGUAACAAAGUCUGUACAUUCAAAAACCAAGUCAAGUAUAUUAAUCUUUUGAAUACUGAAAACACGUAAAGAUCCAUUCAAAUGUGGUUUUAAGAUCUUGUUUUCUUAAGCACGAUAGCACUUUCUUUGGGAUUUUCUUUCAAGUUUUUUUUUUUU